AACGUAGGAGCCAAGCGUUAUCCAAAUUCACUGGGCGUAAAGCGCGUGCAGGCGGCUGGGUAAGUUGGAUGUGAAAUCUCCUGGCUCAACUGGGAGAGGCCGUUCAAUACUACCUGGCUUGAGGGCGACAGAGGGAGGUGGAAUUCCGGGUGUAGUGGUGAAAUGCGUAGAUAUCCGGAGGAACACCAGAGGCGAAGGCGACUACCUGGCCUGUUUCUUGACGCUGAGGCGCGAAAGCUAGGGGAGCAAACGGG
This 254-nucleotide ribosomal RNA is filed under the name uncultured bacterium. RNAcentral describes it as "partial 16S ribosomal RNA". It matches the Rfam family "Bacterial small subunit ribosomal RNA", at positions 524 to 776 of the family's 1533-position model. The record is from RNAcentral.